Molecule: ribosomal RNA, 440 nt
Filed under: uncultured bacterium
Lineage: Bacteria
Description: partial 16S ribosomal RNA
Rfam family: Bacterial small subunit ribosomal RNA
Source: RNAcentral
CCUACGGGAGGCAGCAGUGGGGAAUAUUGCACAAUGGGGGAAACCCUGAUGCAGCGACGCCGCGUGAGUGAAGAAGGAAUUCGUGAUGUACAGCUCUAUCAGCAGGGAGGAAAAUGACGGUACCUGAGUAAGAAGCCCCGGCUAAAUACGUGCCAGCAGCCGCGGGAAUACGUAGGGGGCAAGCGUUAUCCGGAUGUACUGGGUGUAAAGGGAGCGUAGACGGCAGGGCAAGUCUGGAGUGAAAGGCGGGGGUUCAACCCCCGGACUGCUCUGGAAACUGUACGGCGGGAGUGCAGGAGAGGUAAGUAGAAUUCCUGGUGUAGCGGUGAAAUGCGUAGAUAUUAGGAGGAACACCAGUGGCGAAGGCGGCUUACUGGACUAUAACUGACGUUGAGGCUCGAAAGCGUGGGGAGCAAACAGGAUUAGAUACCCUAGUAGUC